UUUUUUUUUUUUUUUUUUUUGACACUUCUGUUAGAAGAAGGAGUACCAGGGGAUGUGAUGAUUUCAUGAUUAAGGGAAACUGCAUCAUGGUCUUUUGGGUCUUAUGAUGUCCUUAAAACUUAUUUAAUUGAUUUUAAAAUAGUUUAUUACUUUGUAAAAUAUUACAAAGAUUUAAAAUCAUUUAUUCAAUAUGACUGUUGUGCAUAUGACUAGAUACUGAAACUCUAGGGGCUUUGUCUUUUUUUUUUUAUUUUAAAGGCUGAUUAUAUGUGCCACCAGAUUUGUCUUUCUGUAAUAUGUCCUAGGAAGGGAGAUUUUAAUUGAGAAGCAUGAUUAAUAACAAAAAUUUAUUGGUUAGAAAAGCUAGUCAUUUAAGAAGAUCCAAAUAUGAUUGCAGCAAUGGUCCUUUCUGUCAAUUUCUGUCAUUUGAUUUUUCUCUAGUUGACCCCACAAUUUUCUUUCAAAGGUCAGUUCUCUCAUCAUGUGCAAUAUGGAGCCUAAUAUGUUGGUAAUAAAAUGAAUAGUAUCAGGCAUUUUUUUUCAAAAUACCAAAUGACUGCAAUCAUUUUUCUUGUGUGUCAUCUGAUGUGUCUAGACAUAGACACAUGCCAGAAAGGCAGGUAGGAAUAUUCACACGUGUUGACAGUUUUUCCAUUUUUGCUAAUUCCUUAGUGAUUAUAAGCAUACUUAAAAUGUGUUCAUCCUUGUAUACCAGCAUAAUUUUAAGAGAGUGUGAUAUUUUUUUCAGAUAAAUUCUAGGCAUAUCAUUUUUGGAUCAGAUUUAGAUGUUAAUAGUGUGUGGUAGUUUAUUAAAAUACUUCUAUUUUAACAAGGUUUGGCAAUGUCAUAUUAAAAAACAGGUACUAGCAUAUGCUCACACAUUUAAAAUUUGUAUUUUGUCCAUGUUACUGCGUUUUCUUUCUCAUUCUCGAGAAGCAUUAUUAUGUUAUAACCUUAAUUUAAAAGAGUAGAAACUAUGAGAAAUAUUUAACAUUUAACCAUUUAUUUACAGUAAUGUAUUUUUAUAGUUAUUUUUUUUAUUGCACUUUGUCUUAAAAUGCUUGAUCAAAAAUAGACAGUAAUCCAGAAGAAAAAUACUUACAUGAUACUGCCUUGAAAUCUUUAAACAUCUGCUCAUGGUAUCCUCAAAAUUAAUUUAAUAGAUUUAAUUAUCAUUUAUUCUUUUACAAAAAGUUAUGCCAAUUUCAAAAAGUACUUUUAGUAACUAGUAGGAAGAGCAUGGGGUCUAUUUAUUUGAGAUCAUCUUUCUUUAUAAAAUCACAGGUGGAGAUCUAGAAAUCAUGAGACCACUCUCUCAUUCAAUGUGGAAAUAGUCUCCAUAAUAUCCAUGAUAAGUUUAUUUAUUUACUCAACAAAUAUUAAUUGAUUACCUACUAUGAACCAGAUACUCAUCCAGUCAUUGUGAACAGAGCAGCGCAUCAAGUAAAUUCCCUGCUUCAUAGAGCUUGCCUCCUACUGCAAAAAUAUGGACUAUAAACAAAACAAAAUCGCUGAAAUAAUAGGAAGGGAUAAAUGCUAAUGAAACAAGCAGGAUCAAGGGAUAUGGUGAUUUUAUACAAGGUGAUCAAGGGAAGAUCUCUUUAAUGUCAUGGUGUUCAGCAGAAUCCUAUAUGUCCCUGUAGGAAUAGGCUGCAUGGCUGUAUAUAUAAAGAACAUGAUGAUCACAGGGCUUAGCAAGUGCAAAGGCCCCAGGGACACGAUGUGUUUAGCAAGGGGUGAGUAUGGCUAGAGCAAGGGAGCAAGUGGGGAGAAGGGUGAGAGAGGUGGCCAGCUGACAGAUCAUGCAUGGCAGGUCUUCAUCACUUCCCAGAGUUUCCUUCAAUGUCUGUCAUGCUUGGUAGGCAAGACCUAUUUCUCAAUACCUCGUGAGGAACCUGUAUUGUCCAUUUAGUCCACAAAUCCACCUUAGGUGGUAAGAAAUAUUAUCCUAAGUUUAUAGUUGACAGUGUAAGUAAUUCUCCUGAGCCCAGAGCACACGAGCUGGGGAUCUCUCUCCCUCUCCCUCGGCUUGUAAGCAGAUGUCUACAAAGUUUAUAGGGGGUGAUUGAAGAAUGGUGAUUAAGGAUGGGUGGGGAGAAGAUAUGCUGUCCCCCAAGUUUGGGGACUCUUCAUUUAAAUGACAGUGUCAGAGUUUACAAUUGCUGUUUUGCAAUUGAUAAACAAUUGACAAUUUGCUUGGUAAAAUAUGUGAGUAACAGAAGUGGCUCCAUCUACCUGAAGCUGAUUUCACUGCCUAGCUGUAGCCUCCUUUAGAUUUCAGUUAGUAGUAAACACAAAAUGCUGAAAUAAAUAUACAUCUUGUCCAAUUGCAGUUUCUAUGCCUUGUAAAUAUGUUUUCUUGCCAAUUUUAAAUGCUUAAAUUAUAACAUUAUGGUUAUUUUAGAAAUCACUUGUAGCCUCGUAUAGUUCAGAUCUCUGGAUAAUAUCAGAUAGUCACAUAAUUCAUAGGAUCUCUGGUUUAAAGUAUGACGGUUUUCCUUUUUUUUUUUUUUUACCAGCAGAGGGCACACUUCACAACUCUGUUUGCCUUUUCAACAAAAGGCACAGAUGAAUUAGAAAUAUAUAUAUAUAUUUUAAGGCUUUCAAAAAUAGACUUUCAAAAUCUCUGUACAUUGUUUCCAAAACAAAAACAUCAUGAAAUGGAAGAACAGGUAAGAUCUAGUCAAUACAGGUUAGAUUUUAUUAUACUGUUCAAAGUCCUCCAACAGAUGUUAAAAGUUUUUAUAAAGAGAAGAAAAAAAGUACAAUAAUAAAGCCUUGCUGUGAAACUUAACAAUGUUUAAAGAGGGAAAACAGGUUUAUUUUGCUGACUAGAGCUAUAUAUGAAAAUAAUGAAAUGAAAAUUUUAAUAAAUGACGUCGGGUAGAUUAUCAAAGACUUUCUUUGCAGUUGCUUCUUUUUCAGAUAGGAGUUUUCAUUGGCAGGUUUGCAUAUUAGAAAGAGCGCUGAAAGAGCGCUGAGCUUCAUUCGGGCUGCUUAUGUUUUGCACAGUUUAGGACAAAUAACCUGUCUAUACCUCACUUUCCAUAUCUGUAAAAUGCAUGUCGUCAUGCCUGCCUGAAUUAUUUGUGUGAGUUACUGGAAAGAAAGGUUGGAGAGAGAGAACCUGCAUCGUAGGCCAGCUCUACGACCCUAGACCAGUCAUUGACUAUCUCUGGACCUCGAUUAUCUACUUUGGAGUAGAUUGUAAUCUAGAUGAUUUGUGGUCCCUGAAAGAACUUUUAUGCUAAAAUUUUGUGCUAAAAUGGCUAGUAAACAAAGUAUUAUAUGAUAUGUAACUGAAUAAUGAAGGCUGCAUUUCCCUGUAUUUUAAAUUUAUAUCAUGUGUGAAUUUCCCGGAACAUGUUUGUAUUCUGAAGCCACAGUGAUCAGUAUUUAAGGCCUGAUGGGAAAGAGGGGAAAAAAGCAAGACUUACAUGGAGACAGUACAAAUCAAAGACCCUUAAAGGUCGCCAGUAUGACUGACCAUCAAGGGAAUGUUACCGUCUUCCCAAGCACCUCCCUUCCCAGGAACAAAGCAACCCUCUAGUUAUGAAUGCAUGACUUGUGAAUGCAUUCACUUAUUCACUAACUAAACAACAGUGUUGCUUAUCCUGCGUGUUCUUAAGACCCUUUUCGCGCUAUCACAUUUCCCACCAAGUUUAGAGAUCCUGCUUUGCUUUUUCUCUGCUCAGAUCUGAGCAGAGAUGAGAUAUGCUCUCUUCCCUUUUGCGAUACAGCUGUUUGCAGCUCAAGUAAUUUUUUUGCUCUUUAAACAUAUUUUUGUUGUCCCCUCCCCCCUUCCAGCUGUUGCUUAGUAAUCUCAGAAAGACCUGAUUUCCUUCACCCUUUUCUGGCUCUCCUUAUAUUUCAUUUUGAUGAAUUGAAAAGGCCCUAUCUGUGGAUUACAAGUAUGAGAGCAGUGCUGGUGAUCCACUUGUGACAGGGAUAAGGGAAACCCUGCUUUGAAGUGAAAAUAGACGUGACAAAGACUCCAUUUCUAAUAGCCUUGACAGGCCUUGAAGUCCCCUUCAGAAAUGACAUAGAAGUUUCCAACUUUCUUCUCACUUUCUUAAAUUAACUAUGGCUGCUCUUAAGUGUUGGCAUUUGAGAUGAAAUAAUACUUCUUAUUACUUGCUUUGCUUUUCCAAUAAAGCUUUAUUGAGGUAUAAUUGAUAUGUUAGAAACUGCAUUUAUUAUUUCAUACAAUUCGAUGCGUUUGGGCAGAUGCAGACACCCAUGAUACCAUCACCACAGCCAAGGUAAUAGAUGCAUAAUGUCCCAAAGUUGCUUUACAUCUUGCAUUUUUACUCAGUUCAUUGAUAUUGAGAUGGUUUAAUUCACUAUUACCCAUUUAUAACAUAGAGUAUUUUAGAUUCCUGUAAAUUAAAUAUGCUUUUGCAGACUGACUUCUGGAUCUACAAUUAGGACAUUUCUUACCUGUGGGGGAAAAAUGCAGAAAUCAAUUUUAAGACUAUAACAUGCUGUCAAUCAGAAACUUUCUAUUUUUUUUUUUUUGAGCCUAUUUCCUGUAGAAAGAUUACAAAUGUGGAAUCUGCAAGUUUAUACUGCAAUCUGGUUCUGGUUCUGUUGAAAUCAAGUAACACAUGGAGAAUAUUUAUGUUUUUUUCAUUUAAAUGUAUUUAUUGUAUAUCUACUACAUAGUGGGCAUUGCUUUAGGUACUUGCUAUGUAUGAGUAAAUAAGGCAGAUUAAACUUUGGACCCUCAUGGAGGGUCUGGUAGUCAGGGGUGGGGCAAGGAAAAGGCAAUGAACAUAAUAAAUAGAUUAUAUAGUAUAGUAAAUAGUUAAAAGUACAAUGGUAAAAAGAAAAAAUACAAUAGGGUGUGAGGAGUGGGAAUGCUAGGAUGAGGGGAGUUUCAAUUUUAAAUAGGCUUUCAGGGUUGGCCUCAUUCAGAGGCUGAAAUUUAGGCAAAACUGAAAUAAGGCAAAGGAGGAGAUGGUGUAGAUGUAUCUAGGCAAAGGGCGACCCAGGUAGAGGAAUUAGUCCAGGCAAAAGUUUGGAGGAAGGGCCAUGUCAGGUGGAUUUGAGGAAAAGUGAAGGGGCCAGUGUUGGAAUGGAAGAGCAGUAGGAGGGGGAAUCAGAGAUAAGGGGUACAGGUCGCGGCUGGGGUUGUAAGCCACUGCUUGGACUUGGAUUUUACUGUGAAUGAGAUGGAAGCCACUUUGAGAGUACUGGAUAGAGGAAUGGCGUGAUUUGAUUGACAUGUUUAAAGCCUGUUUCUGGCUGCUGUCUAGAGAAUAGAUAAAAAUAGAGGCUGGGGGACCUGCUAGGAGACUAACAUGGUAAUCUAGGUGAGAAAUGAUGUGAUGAGAGGGGAAUGGAGGCAGGGAUCUAUGUGAAGACGUGAUUAUAAUGAUUUGCCGUGGAAUUUUGAGUAUGGAGGGUAGAGAGAUGUCAGAAGGAUGAAGGGCGGUGAAGAUUAGUAGAAUCAAUGCUCUGCAAGCUCCCAAGAGAUUUAAGCAUUGUUGGGAUGAACUGAGGUUCUAGAAGUAAUAUGCUUGAAAAUAGAAAGUGGUCAGGAAGUGGGAUGCUUGAAAUUUUGGAGAACUUGUAGGUAAUAAAAUGGUGAGGAAUGGGUCUUGGGAGUGAGUGGCUGGGGUAGGGUGUGGGAUAGGAUUUUUGGAAGAGAGAAAUUUGAGAAGAGGCUAGAGUGUUGAAGGCCUUUCUAUGUAUGAACUGAAAUAGCCAAAAAUUAGCAUAGGUGGUGUGUUUUAGGAAGCCGUGGUGAACUAGGAGUUAACAUCAUCAAACAGUGAGUAGGAAUGACUCAGGUCUCAGUAGAUGACAUCAACAAUGAUUACAUCUGAUAAGAUUCCAGCUAGGAAAUGUUAUGGAGUUAGGGAGGAGAGAAGGGGGAUGUAAUGAACGGGAUGUUACAAAUACAAUGAGAAUGUCAGAGGAGAAGGAAGCUGGAAUGAGAAGCUAGGGGGACAUGGACCCCACCUGUAGGCCCAGUUGUGUAAAGGUUGGGACAGAAAGCCAGCACUUGAGAUGUGAGGGAAGCAGAGUGCUCAAGGAGGAGCCAGGAUUUCUGGAAGGGAGAGAAACUGAAUAUUACAACAGGACUACUAUCCCACUGAAAGGCGAAACCAAGACAUAUCUUUUAUGACAGAAGCAUAUGCCUCUCAGAAAACUUCCCCUCCACCCCCUUUUUUAACCCCAAGAAAUCAAAUCUACAUAAUGCAACCUCCAUAAAAAUCCAAGAAACCACCUUUUUGGUGGUUUUCUUUUUUCUUUUCUCCUCCUCCUCCUCCUUCUUUCUUUUUUUUCUUCCUCCUCCUCCUCCUCCUCCUCCUCCUCCUUCUUCUUCUUCUUCUUCUUCUUUUCUUCUUCUCCUCCUCCUCCUCCUCCUUCUUCUUCUUCUUCUUCUUCUUCUUCUUCUUCUUCUUCUUCUUCUUCUUCUUCUUCUUUCUUCUUCUUCUUCCUUUUCUUUCUUCUUUCUUCUUCUUCCUUUUUUUUUUUUUUUUUACAGUUUCCAUGCUUAGGAAAUCAAAGAGCUUCCAUGUGCCACUGGACUCCAUGAAGACUCCCUGGGCUUCUCCCUGGUUUUCUUUUCUUUUUUCUUUUCUCCUCCUCUUCCUCCUCCCUCCUCCUCCUCCUUUCUUCUUCUUUUUUCUUUUCUUUUCUUUUUUUUUUUUUUUUUUAACAGUUUCCAUGCUUAGGAAAUCAAAGAGCUUCCAUGUGCCACUGGACUCCAUGAAGACUUCCUGGGCUUCACGAGGACAGAAGCUACUUUGUUCAGGACCUCAUCCUAUGUAUCUUUUCAUCUGGCUCUUGAUUUUUUAAAAAAGAUUUUAUUUAUCCAUGAGAGAUACAGAGAGAGAGGCAGAGACACAGGCAGAGAGAGAAGCAGGCUGCCUUCAGAGAGUCUGAUGUAAGACUCAAUCCAAGGACCCCAGGAUCACGCCCUGAGCCAAAGGCAGAUGCUCAACCACUGAACCACCCAAGUGCCCCCUGGCUCUUGAUUUGUACCGUUGAUCAUACAUACCCUUUAACAAACCGGCAAACCUAAGGAAGUGUUUCCUGGGAGUUCCGUAAGCUACUCUAGCAAACUAAUCAAAUCUAAGGAGGGAGUC
This 7100-nucleotide long non-coding RNA is filed under the name Canis lupus familiaris (dog). Its description in RNAcentral is "lncRNA (ENSCAFG00845007806.1)". Lineage: Eukaryota; Metazoa; Chordata; Mammalia; Carnivora; Canidae. The record is from RNAcentral.